Molecule: microRNA precursor, 82 nt
Filed under: Operophtera brumata (winter moth)
Lineage: Eukaryota; Metazoa; Arthropoda; Insecta; Lepidoptera; Geometridae
Description: bantam microRNA precursor family
Rfam family: bantam microRNA precursor family
Source: Rfam by way of RNAcentral
CAGGAAUUACGAAACUGGUUUUCAUAAUGAUUUGACAGAUUGUUCUAUAUUCUGAGAUCAUUGUGAAAGCUGAUUUUGUUCC